CUAGCAACAUCUCAUGUUAAUAGGGUGGUUGCUUCUUUUCGAUGCAACUGAACCACUGUAAUCAGUCAAGAAUAGUCAAUGCCGAUUGGACUCCCGCACUCCUAUAACGGUGGAAGACCUAUGACUUAAUAUUUAAAGAAAGGUUUAAUUUAUCUCAUCUUAAUUAGUCAUAAUUGUUAUGACUAAUCCUAGGAGCAUGGGUUAGCUCAAAUCAUCAGGUAUCCACAUCAAGACUAAACAACCAAAUCGGCCAGGUAAGUGCA
This 263-nucleotide long non-coding RNA is filed under the name Elaeis guineensis (African oil palm). RNAcentral's name for it is "long non-coding RNA (EGUI_LNC031826)". The record is from RNAcentral. Lineage: Eukaryota; Viridiplantae; Streptophyta; Magnoliopsida; Arecales; Arecaceae.